GAUCUCCUACGGGAGGCAGCAGUGGGGAAUAUUGCACAAUGGGGGAAGCCCUGAUGCAGCCAUGCCGCGUGUGUGAAGAAGGCCUUCGGGUUGUAAAGCACUUUCAGUUGUGAGGAAAAGUUAGUAGUUAAUACCUGCUAGCCGUGACGUUAACAACAGAAGAAGCACCGGCUAACUCCGUGCCAGCAGCCGCGGUAAUACGGAGGGUGCGAGCGUUAAUCGGAAUUACUGGGCGUAAAGCGCACGCAGGCGGUUUGUUAAGCUAGAUGUGAAAGCCCCGGGCUCAACCUGGGAUGGUCAUUUAGAACUGGCAGACUAGAGUCUUGGAGAGGGGAGUGGAAUUCCAGGUGUAGCGGUGAAAUGCGUAGAUAUCUGGAGGAACACCA
Molecule: ribosomal RNA, 386 nt
Filed under: uncultured Gammaproteobacteria bacterium
Lineage: Bacteria; Pseudomonadati; Pseudomonadota; Gammaproteobacteria
Description: bacterial SSU rRNA
Rfam family: Bacterial small subunit ribosomal RNA
Source: RNAcentral